CUAGCAUAUCAAUAAGCGGAGGAAAAGAAACUAACAAGGAUUCCCCUAGUAACUGCGAGUGAAGCGGGAAAAGCUCAAAUUUAAAAUCUGGCGGUCUUUGGCCGUCCGAGUUGUAGUCUGGAGAAGUGCUUUCCGCGCUGGACCGUGUAUAAGUCUCUUGGAACAGAGCGUCAUAGAGGGUGAGAAUCCCGUCUUUGACACGGACUACCAGUGCUUUGUGAUGCGCUCUCAAAGAGUCGAGUUGUUUGGGAAUGCAGCUCAAAAUGGGUGGUAAAUUCCAUCUAAAGCUAAAUAUUGGCGAGAGACCGAUAGCGAACAAGUACCGUGAGGGAAAGAUGAAAAGCACUUUGGAAAGAGAGUUAAACAGUACGUGAAAUUGCUGAAAGGGAAACGCUUGAAGUCAGUCGCGUCUGCCGGAACUCAGCCUUGCUUUUGCUUGGUGCACUUUCCGGUUGACGGGCCAGCAUCGAUUUUGACCGUCGGAAAAGGGCUAGGGAAAUGUGGCACCUUCGGGUGUGUUAUAGUCUCUAGUCGCAUACGGCGGUUGGGAUCGAGGACCGCAGCGCGCCGCAAGGCAGGGGUUCGCCCACUUUCGCGCUUAGGAUGCUGGCAUAAUGGCUUUAAACGACCCGUCUUGAAACACGGACCAAGGAGUCUAACAAACCUGCGAGUGUUUGGGUGGUAAACCCGAGCGCGUAAUGAAAGUGAAAGUUGAGACCUCUGUCGUGGAGGGCAUCGACGCCCGGACCUGACGUUCUCUGAAGGAUCCGCGGUAGAGCAUGUUUGUUGGGACCCGAAAGAUGGUGAACUAUGCCUGAAUAGGGUGAAGCCAGAGGAAACUCUGGUGGAGGCUCGUAGCGAUUCUGACGUGCAAAUCGAUCGUCAAAUUUGGGUAUAGGGGCGAAAGACUAAUCGAACCAUCUAGUAGCUGGUUCCUGCCGAGCCCCCUUCAUCAGAUAUA
RNAcentral lists this ribosomal RNA (961 nucleotides) under Microporus sp. (in: basidiomycete fungi). Its description in RNAcentral is "Microporus sp. (in: Fungi) partial large subunit ribosomal RNA". It matches the Rfam family "Eukaryotic large subunit ribosomal RNA", at positions 34 to 989 of the family's 3401-position model. The record is from RNAcentral. Lineage: Eukaryota; Fungi; Basidiomycota; Agaricomycetes; Polyporales; Polyporaceae.